This 254-nucleotide ribosomal RNA is filed under the name uncultured bacterium. RNAcentral's name for it is "partial 16S ribosomal RNA". It matches the Rfam family "Bacterial small subunit ribosomal RNA", at positions 524 to 776 of the family's 1533-position model. The record is from RNAcentral.
CACGUAGGGACCAAGCGUUGUCCGGAUUCAUUGGGCGUAAAGAGCUCGUAGGCGGUUCGGUAAGUCGGGUGUGAAACCUCCAGGCUCAACCUGGAGACGCCACCCGAUACUGCUGUGACUAGAGUCCAGUAGGGGAGCGUGGAAUUCCUGGUGUAGCGGUGAAAUGCGUAGAUAUCAGGAGGAACACCAAUUGCGAAGGCAGCUCGCUGGGACGUUACUGACGCUGAGACGCGAAAGCGUGGGGAGCAAACAGG